RNAcentral lists this ribosomal RNA (475 nucleotides) under Micrococcineae bacterium BF.23. RNAcentral describes it as "bacterial SSU rRNA". It matches the Rfam family "Bacterial small subunit ribosomal RNA", at positions 18 to 503 of the family's 1533-position model. The record is from RNAcentral. Lineage: Bacteria; Bacillati; Actinomycetota; Actinomycetes; Micrococcales.
CCUGGCUCAGGAUGAACGCGGGCGGCGUGCUUAACACAUGCAAGUCGAACGAUGAUCCGGUGCUUGCACCGGUGAUUAGUGGCGAACGGGUGAGUAACACGUGAGUAACCUGCCCUUAACUCUGGGAUAAGCCUGGGAAACUGGGUCUAAUACCGGAUAUGACUCCUCAUCGCAUGGUGGGGGGUGGAAAGCUUUAUUGUGGUUUUGGAUGGACUCGCGGCCUAUCAGCUUGUUGGUGAGGUAAUGGCUCACCAAGGCGACGACGGGUAGCCGGCCUGAGAGGGUGACCGGCCACACUGGGACUGAGACACGGCCCAGACUCCUACGGGAGGCAGCAGUGGGGAAUAUUGCACAAUGGGCGCAAGCCUGAUGCAGCGACGCCGCGUGAGGGAUGACGGCCUUCGGGUUGUAAACCUCUUUCAGUAGGGAAGAAGCGAAAGUGAACGGUACCUGCAGAAGAAGCGCCGGCUAACUA